GCCGCCAGCCACAAGUGCUGGUUGCCGGGUAAGGAACUUUACCAGUCUUCUAGCGGAAUAGCUGUCUGUGCCGCGCUUCCCGCAGUGGAGGGGCCGCAGCCAUCCUUGAAUGCUGGCAGCCGGGCCGCGCUUCCCGCAGUGGAGGGGCCGCUGCCAUCCUUGAAUGCUGGCAGCCGGGAGGAUCCUUUGUCAGCUCCACAAAGUGCCCCCUCUGCUGCGCUCCGAUCUGUUAGCCAGACUCCUAGCCCCAGUGAAGGCUAGCACAUGGAACACUUCUCGGAAGCUGUGGACGAGCCUUCAGUGGAGAACAUGGAGCAGGCUGCAGAUCCAAAGGAUUCGCCCCUUUAUGAUGAUGGCCUACCUGCACUAAAGGACCUG
Ixodes scapularis (black-legged tick) is the source of this 378-nucleotide long non-coding RNA. RefSeq lists it as uncharacterized. Lineage: Eukaryota; Metazoa; Arthropoda; Arachnida; Ixodida; Ixodidae. The record is from RefSeq and is a predicted model, not a curated record. The transcript is spliced from 4 exons.